This 65-nucleotide transfer RNA is filed under the name Basilepta fulvipes. RNAcentral describes it as "tRNA-Pro". Lineage: Eukaryota; Metazoa; Arthropoda; Insecta; Coleoptera; Chrysomelidae. The record is from RNAcentral.
UCAAGGGAUAGUUUAGUUAAAAUAUAAAUUUUGGAGAUUUAAGAUAGAUUAGAAUCUUCCUUUGA